Molecule: ribosomal RNA, 549 nt
Filed under: uncultured Glomus
Lineage: Eukaryota; Fungi; Glomeromycota; Glomeromycetes; Glomerales; Glomeraceae
Description: SSU rRNA
Rfam family: Eukaryotic small subunit ribosomal RNA
Source: RNAcentral
UUGGAGGGCAAGUCUGGUGCCAGCAGCCGCGGUAAUUCCAGCUCCAAUAGCGUAUAUUAAAGUUGUUGCAGUUAAAAAGCUCGUAGUUGAAUUUCGGGGUCAAUAAGUUGGUCGUGCCAAUGGUAUGCACUGGCUUUAUUGAUUCCUACCUCUUGACGAACUGUGAUGCCAUUAAUUUGGUGUCGCAAGGAAUCAGGACUGUUACCUUGAAAAAAUUAGAGUGUUUAAAGCAGGCUUACGCUUGAAUACAUUAGCAUGGAAUAAUGAAAUAGGACGUUUGAACCUAUUUUGUUGGUUUCUAGGAUCGACGUAAUGAUUAAUAGGGAUAGUUGGGGGCAUUAGUAUUCAAUUGUCAGAGGUGAAAUUCUUGGAUUUAUUGAAGACUAACUACUGCGAAAGCAUUUGCCAAGGAUGUUUUCAUUAAUCAAGAACGAAAGUUAGGGGAUCGAAGACGAUCAGGUACCGUCGUAGUCUUAACCAUAAACUAUGCCGACUAGGGAUCGGGUGAUGUUAAUUUUUUAAUGACUCAUUCGGCGCCUUACGGGAAAC